This 454-nucleotide ribosomal RNA is filed under the name uncultured bacterium. RNAcentral describes it as "partial 16S ribosomal RNA". It matches the Rfam family "Bacterial small subunit ribosomal RNA", at positions 28 to 507 of the family's 1533-position model. The record is from RNAcentral.
GAUGAACGCUGACAGAAUGCUUAACACAUGCAAGUCUACUUGAACUUCGGUUUGGGUGGCGGACGGGUGAGUAACGCGUAAAGAACUUGCCUCACAGUUAGGGACAACAUUUGGAAACGAAUGCUAAUACCUGAUAUUAUGAUUUUAGGGCAUCCUAGGAUUAUGAAAGCUAUAUGUGCUGUGAGAGAGCUUUGCGUCCCAUUAGCUAGUUGGAGAGGUAACGGCUCACCAAGGCGAUGAUGGGUAGCCGGCCUGAGAGGGUGAACGGCCACAAGGGUACUGAGACGCGGCCCUUACUCCUACGGGAGGCAGCAGUGGGGAAUAUUGGACAACGGACCAAAAUUCUUAUCCAGCAUUUCUGUGUGCACGAUGACGUUUUUCGGAAUGUAAAGUUCUUUCAGUUGGGAAGAAAAAAAUGACGUUACCAACAGAAGAAGUUACGGCUAAAUACGUG